CCCUUAGAUGUUCUGGGCCGCACGCGCGCUACACUGACUGGUGCAACAAGUGUCUGACCUUGGCUCGAGAGGCCUGGGCAAUCUUUGAACGCUGGUCGUGAUGGGGAUAGACUUUUGCAAUUUUUGGUCUUCAACGAGGAAUUCCUAGUAAACGCAAGUCAUCAACUUGCAUUGAUUACGUCCCUGCCCUUUGUACACACCGCCCGUCGCACCUACCGAUUGAAUGGUCCGGUGAAGCCUCCGGAUUGGCGCGCACCUCGGUGCCGCCGAGAAGUUGGCUAAACCUUACCAUUUAGAGGAAGGUGAAGUCGUAACA
This 316-nucleotide ribosomal RNA is filed under the name uncultured eukaryote. Its description in RNAcentral is "partial 18S ribosomal RNA". It matches the Rfam family "Eukaryotic small subunit ribosomal RNA", at positions 1470 to 1796 of the family's 1831-position model. The record is from RNAcentral.